RNA transcript from Vombatus ursinus (common wombat), 1494 nucleotides. RefSeq lists it as uncharacterized. Lineage: Eukaryota; Metazoa; Chordata; Mammalia; Diprotodontia; Vombatidae. The record is from RefSeq and is a predicted model, not a curated record. The transcript has 2 exons.
GGAAGCAUCUGGACUCCUGUCUUGGGACUGCCACAUCUGGAUACCUUCCCUGUAACAGCACAGGCCUUGCCUUGCCUGGGUUUCCCAUCUCUGGAACCCAUCAGCAUAACUGGAAAUCCCUCCCCCCACCUCCUUCCUCAAGUUACUGCAGGGUCCUAACACAUCUGGACUUAUGCCCUCAGAUCCCAAAUCCCUCCCUACCUCUUAGCACAGUAGCCAAGUUUUCUCCAACCCCACUUUCCUUCCCUUUAACACACAUACACACACACAUCUGAAUUGCCCCAUCUCAGCCCCCAGCUUGCCUUUCUCUGCAUGCCCACUCCAGGGAUUGCUGCCCAUCUGGAUGCACUGGGCCCCCUUACCUCCCAUGUGCCCCUACUACCCUAUAUGUUCUACGUGGGGUUGUUCUUUGUCAACGUCCUGAUCCUGUAUUAUGCCUUCCUGAUGGAGUACAUCGUCCUUAAUGUGGGUUUGGUUUUCCUGCCUGAGGACAUGGACCAGGCACUGGUGGAUCUGGGUGUACUCUCAGAUCCAGGCUCUGGGCUCUAUGACACUGACAGUGAGUUGGAUGUUUUCGAUGGCUACCUGGAGUAGGGGGAUCCUGGGGCUGGAGUCCCCCAGUCAGAGCCUUCCUUCUUCCCACAGGCCCUGCAGAGGAAACCUUCAGGCCUAUCGCAGCUUGUACUCCCUGGGCCAGAAUGCCUGGGACAGGCUGAUACUGUGGGUGACACAGGAGUUGCCACCGAUGAUGUCUUCCCUCCUUCAAAGGGAUCCGGGACAAUGCCCUUCCUGGUCCUCAAGACCUAUCUGCCCAUCUUGAAUGUGCACCACGAUGCAACUCCUGGGAUUAACGAGACUGAAAAGUGCUCAGGUUGGAAAGGCACACAGACUGGAAGAAUGGAAGGAAGAGCAACAGAAGGAGCCAGAUCACAGAUUCUUCCAAACAGAUAUUUCCUCAGUGACUGUCCAGCUGCAGUGUUGCACAAGAGGCCAAUGCCUUAGUUUAGUACCUUAACUGAUCUGGAUGCAUAUUUUUUAUGGAAAUCCAAGCUUUUCUCUUUCUAUAUUAUUUCUAGCAUCAGUACCUUGAAGGGUCAACUUUGGGGGAAAAUGUACUUAAGGCUGUUUAGCAAUGAACAGUAGUCUAUAUCAAUAAUUUGUUGUCAAUAAAGCCUAAAGUAGUUGAAAUGUUUAGAAUUUAGUUGGCCAUUAGUUCUAGAGAUGCUCUCAGGUGGGGACUCGAAAUCAAAAGAAUUAAGGAAAUGUUCCAGAGGUUUGGUUUGGUAGGUUGUCCCUUUUGUUUUCAAUCUGCUUGUCUUCCAUUGGUUUUGCAGAUCUCUCAACUGUUCUUUGGAAGAGAACUGGAAGAACUUGUGCAAAGAAUAACUUAAUUAUCCAACCCAAGAUACUUUGAAAAUGAUAGUAUUAUUUGAAUUCAACUCCCAUAAACCUGUAAAAGCACUCUGUGGAAAGCUAGCCUCUUUUGAUUAAAAA